AAUGAUGGAAUGACUCUCGGCAACGGAUAUCUCGGCUCUCGCAUCGAUGAAGAACGCAGCGAAAUGCGAUACGUGGUGUGAAUUGCAGAAUCCCGUGAACCAUCGAGUUUUUGAACGCAAGUUGCGCCCGAGGCCAUCUGGCCGAGGGCACGCCUGCCUGGGCGUCAGCU
This 170-nucleotide ribosomal RNA is filed under the name Juncus repens. RNAcentral's name for it is "5.8S ribosomal RNA". It matches the Rfam family "5.8S ribosomal RNA". From Rfam's summary of the family: 5.8S ribosomal RNA (5.8S rRNA) is a component of the large subunit of the eukaryotic ribosome. It is transcribed by RNA polymerase I as part of the 45S precursor that also contains 18S and 28S rRNA. Functionally, it is thought that 5.8S rRNA may be involved in ribosome translocation. The record is from RNAcentral. Lineage: Eukaryota; Viridiplantae; Streptophyta; Magnoliopsida; Poales; Juncaceae.